AAAGCGCAGUAGGGGGCUCUCGCGGUUGGGGAACAUAGAUGGCUGGAGACAGAAUCUAGAGCCUUCAAAUAAUGUGGAGAUGUUUCCACCUUCAGGUUCCACUGGGCUGAUUCCCCCCUCCCACUUUCAAGCUCGGCCCCUUUCAACUCUGCCAAGAAUGGCUCCCACCUGGCUCUCAGACAUUCCCCUGGUCCAACCCCCAGGCCAUCAAGAUGUCUCAGAGAGGCGGCUAGACACCCAGAGACCUCAAGUGACCAUGUGGGAACGGGAUGUUUCCAGUGACAGGCAGGAGCCAGGGCGGAGAGGCAGCUGUCCUCUUUGACACAGGCUCACGAGGAGGCUCUUUCCAGUUUGACCAGCAAGGCUGAGGGCUUGGAGAAGUCUCUGAGUAGUCUGGAAACCAGAAGAGCAGGGGAAGCCAAGGAGCUGGCCGAGGCUCAGAGGGAGGCCGAGCUGCUUCGGAAGCAGCUGAGGUAGGUGGGCGGACGCCGACGGGAGCCCAGCAAUUAGUGAUGUGGUGGAUCUGCAGGGCGCCCCACUGAUGGCU
RNAcentral lists this long non-coding RNA (547 nucleotides) under Homo sapiens (human). Its description in RNAcentral is "non-protein coding lnc-POU5F1-9:1". Lineage: Eukaryota; Metazoa; Chordata; Mammalia; Primates; Hominidae. The record is from RNAcentral.